Ctenopharyngodon idella (grass carp) is the source of this 7685-nucleotide long non-coding RNA. RefSeq lists it as uncharacterized. The record is from RefSeq and is a predicted model, not a curated record. The transcript is spliced from 2 exons. NCBI's taxonomy places the organism in Eukaryota, Metazoa, Chordata, Actinopteri, Cypriniformes, Xenocyprididae.
CAAGUAUUUCAGAGACCCGCGAUAACCUCUACGUUUUUAACCAGACUAGUUUUACUGCAUGACCAUGGUAAACCGUAGUGUAAUUUCAGGUUUGCCGAAUGUAUGUGGAAAAUAUAUGAGACAAGUUACACAAGUUUUUUCCAGGAAAAAACAGAUACUUGGCGUACACGGACAUACAGGAAUCCAUGAAAUUUCAUGGACAUACACUGCGGGUUGUGAGGACUGAUGUCAGGUGUGGACAUUUCAUAUGUUAAUGAAUAUCAGUUAAAGGUGCUUGAUGUGCUCUCAGAUUGAGAGAGGGGGGUGAGCAAGCGAAGUUUCACAAAAUAGUCUUAAUAAAUUUAAACAAAUAAAUUAUAAAGCUAGCUUUAUCAUUUUUGACAGCACCAUUAGUUUGUAUUGGCGGUAUGGUUCUGUUCUGGGCAAGAACUCCCUGCCCAUCCAUGCUGCCUAGCAUGGAUAAGAGCAGGGAGAGCAGCGAUAACCCCCACUAGGGUAAACAGAACACAACCAAGAUAAGGUAUGCAGAUAUCAUUAAUGUUCUUAAUGAUAAUAAUUUAAUGUAACAGCAUAAUUCAAGAAAAAGGAGUCCGAUUCAAAGAGGUAUAUAAGAGGCCAAGUCCUGACAGGAUGAGAGGAGGAGCUGGGGAUGGGGUAAUUAGCUCCUGAGCAAAUCGAUUAAGCUGCUGAUAAUACUGAAUGGACCUUAGAUGAGUGAAUGAACAGUGCUCUCUUCCACUCUCAUUACCUACAACUGAGGUGCCCUUGAGCAAGGCACCUAACCCCUAAUCUCUCCCUGGGCGCCGCAGCAAAAAUGGCUGCCCACUGCUCCGGGUGUGUGUUCAUGAUGUGUGUCUGCGCACUUGGAUUGGUGAAAUGCAGAGCACAAAUUCCGAGUAUGGGACACCAUACUUGGCCCCACGUCAUGUCACUUUCACUGUCACUUUCAUAUAUAGGGAUGAGGUGAUAGGCGUCAUAUACCUUAUAGGUAGACGUGGAUCAAAUGAAAGUCAGCUGAUGCGAGCUUGACUAACGUGACCUGCCAGAACUAACGCUACACUUGAUAUGUAUGAUUUAUAAUUUGAAGGCAUCCUCUCUCCCCAAUUUCAUUCCUCUUUCCAUAUUGUUUCACAGAAAUGAAGACCUGAGGCCAUAUUCACAAAACAUUUGAUUUUACCACCACUAAGAGUUCUCCUAAAUAGAUGUAAAAGUUCUUAGGUAAGAGUUAUCUUUUAAAACCUUUUCACAAAGCUACUGAGACUAACUUUUACUAAGGAACAGAGAGAAAUGUUAAGCUAAGGGAAAGGGUGGGGUUGACCUCAUUGCUAUGGAUGAUAUCAGCACGCUUACUAACUAUGCACACAGUGAUUGGCUGAUAGAGGAGGGGUCUCUGUCAGUGAAUUAAUGAUAGAAAUAUUGUAGAACAAGGUAUCAUAUUGCCAUAUUAAAAGAUUUUAAAAUGUAAGCUAAGUAUUACUAAUUAAACAAGUAUAUGUUCAGCUAAUUGUCAGCCUCUUACAUGUCUGCAUCUCGAGAGAUUUCAAGCUACAAAUUGUUUUAUAAACAAAGUUCGGGAGGAGCGCGUUCAAAUGGUCGAGAGGAGGCAUAUAUACACAGCCGACUCACCUAGUUACCUCGACAGCUUUCUGCAUCCACCCUUCACACCGACUCCUCACUCUCGGCUGGAUACGGGGGUGAACUCUGGGUUUGCGCUAAAUUCUGAGCUCUGAGCCUCCCCUUGGACAGCAUGCCAAAUAUGCUUAUUUGACUUUUUUACUCUAUUCAAUCAUUUGUAAGUGUGAGCUCGUUGAAACAACUGCCACAGGUAACCAGACAUUAUUUUUAAUUUAUUUAAUAUUUAUUUUUGCCAUUUUUGCCUUUUUAUUAUGAUAGUAACAGUGAGUAGACAGGAAUCGAGUGGAAGAGAGAAAGGGGGGACGGGAUCGGGAAAGGUUCACAAGCCGGAACUUGAGCUCAGGUCACCCGAGCUGCCCACAAGGCUAUCAGCACAGAUGAUGGGAACAUUAUUUUAAACUUAACUGCAAUGUUUUGUUCUCCAUCAUUCAAUGCAUUUUGCCUGUAUAUAAAUGAACCUUUAUGUUAUCGCAUCACAGAUUAAAAUCUAUAAAUCAAAAUAUUUAUUGCAUUUAUGAAGAAAAGUCUCAGCACCCAAGUCUCUAUCACCUAUUGCCUCAAUGGUGUACAGUGUUUUUGGGCGGAUUGCCAGCAACAGCCAUUUUAGGAUUGUUUGUGAUUUUGUCUUAGUAAUGGGUGUCCUCUUUUCACAGAUUUAGGAGCUGGUUGUAGCACUAAAAUGCUUUGAGAAAUACUCUUAAAGCGAAAAAUUUAGGAGUCCUAAAAUUAGGAAUGACAUGCCCAUUAUUUUUAAUGCUGUGAGUGCUGUGAGUGAGGUGUCAGGGUCAAGUAAGCGCUCUUCCCCCUGGUACAAACUGGAACAAAAUCCCUUUCAAUCGUUCCAGAAUGAAAUCAUUAUUUCAAAACAAGUAAUUAAAAAAGUUAUUAUUUUGUUCUGAUAAUUUGUCAAUGACAAAUUGUCAUGAUAUCAAGGAAGCCAAUAAUUUUUUUCCACUGUAAACAUUUAUACUUUCACUACAUCUCUUCACAGAUUGCUUUAAUUGCCCACUUGAAUGCACAAGAGAAAAAACGGUUAUCUGUUUUACUGUGCAUCCGUGGAAGGCACAGCGUUUGGUGCCCUCUGAAGACCCCACCCCCUAAAACCAGGGGUCACAUUUUUUUCCCCGAACCGGGUUGCAUAUUUUAGGCCUGUUUUUUCAGACCAACUCUAGCAAAACCUGGCAACACUGCCAGUCACACUUCUUGAAGAGCCGUUUUUAGCCAACAGCUACAGACUGAAACACAAGCCUGCACAGUUCUCAGAAGAAUCCACUUCAUCCUGAUGCACAAACCAGGUAAGACUGAUUAUCUAUAUUGUGUAAAACUAAUAUAUUUAAUGUCUAAACUAUAUUAAUACUACAUUUUGUCCUCAUCUAAUGGUUCCUCUUUUCCACAGUUUCCUACACCUUAGACUGGGUCAACUUAUCUUCUGCGAUUGUAAAGUAACAUUCAGAAGGCUGUUGCAACCUUUUAAUAUCCAUUUUUAUAUUGUUUUAUCUAUCCAGCUAAAUAUUUUCUGUUACUAACCAUAUUUUAUGUCUUAUGUAUCCUUCAUCCCAUCCCAGAAAGGCCCAGCUGAAACAGUCAAAAAAGGCAAAAGAGAGACAACAUUGCCAGGAGAAGAGGUCAACAGAGACAAACACAGAAAGAGCAUUUCGAAGGACAGAAAUGGUAGAGCUCAAUGUAAGAUGAGGAAGAUUGUUGUUGUUGAUGUGGAUGCAUGCAGGAGCUACAGUGAGGAAUGGAAUCUACUGGGACACAUCAUUUCAUGUGUUAUUUACUGCUUUUGUUUGAAAUCUUUAAAUUAAAGUAGAUGUUGUAUUUUUGUAUUGGGUUGGGAUCUAACGGCACACCUAGCCUGCAACCUAUCAAAUCAAAUCACCUAGCCGUAAGGGUUUUGGGAGGGAUAUAUUUUAAAUCUAACCAAUCAAGUCACUUUGCUGUAAGGGUUGUGGGUGGGAUAAAUUUAGUUUACCAAUGAAAUGACUUUUGAGGAAAGUCUGUGUGCUCAGUGGCCCAAUAGCUGUCUCUUGUGGGGGUGGGUUUAGCCUCAAAGCAACCAAUCCAGUUUAACACGAAUGACCAAAAGGGGAGGGACGAAUGGCACAAAGGUAGGAAUGUCCCCUGAAAAAAAGGUGCCUAAGGGGAUAACUUGCCAUGGCAACAAAUGGCCAUUGCGUGAAAGAAUAUCUCAAUAACAUAUAUCCAAAUUGGUAUAAUUUCAGCACGGACCCAUGGUAUUUCCCAUAUCUGGUCAGUAAUACUCCCGGACUCGUCCGAAAUUCUGCGGUGGUACUACUGUUCCAUAUACACCUCUUUUCACGUAGUGUUUUUGGAUCAACAGUCUGACAAGAGGGGGAAAAAAUGAACCACAGAAAGAGUUUUCCAAAUUUUUGUGUAUUUUAUUGAUGAUGACCAGGAUGGUUCCCUUUACAGUAAAUCAGCAGAAAUCUACUUUUGCAUUGAGCUUUUAAAGACAGAAUGUUGAAUAUUGCACUAAAGAAGAAGAGAACUAAGAUUCAUACAGCGCCAAAGAACGAGGAAAUAUCACAGCAUCUUCUCGACAACAUCUUAGGGUAAACAGAAGCCAAGCCCAAUAAUAUAUGCAUAUUUCAGUACCAUAAAGACAGUUAGCUUCAAAUAUAUCUUCUUAAAAUAGUUUUGUUUUAAUUCUGAUCAUUAAACAAUUACAUUCAGGAGUAUAACUAAUAAGGUCACAUGCAAAGAUGGAUACGUAUACAUGACAUAUGGCCAAAUGAAUCCAUCACAUGAUGAUGCAUUUGAUGUGGAAUGAAAUCGAACUAAUAGAGAUUCGUAGAGGUACUUUAACUUUGCAGUCUUUUUUUUACGUUUAGGAAAUUAGAAUUACAAUGACCAUAGAACUUCCUGAAAAGAAAGCGUUUCACAUAAAUGACCACGUCAGCUAUUUUUAUUUAUAUGUACAGGUUACGCCAUUUGUUUUGAUCUCUAUUUUGACAUUUCAAGUCAUUGUAAAGGAGGAAUCUUUACGUCUGUAGUGUAUUCAGUUUUCAGUGUGUAGUUGGUAGCCCUCUGCAAACCAAAGUUGUUGUAUCUUAUUUUUAAGAGAGUUCUGUAUUUGUACGAAAAUCAGCAACAGCUGAAUGUAAUAUUUUGUCAUGAGUCACUCACGAUUCUAACCACUGUUCUUUCGGUGACCCAUUUUCUGAGGUUCACUGUUCCAUGUGCAUAUUUUGCUAGUUCUUUGUUUUGUUCAAGCAGCAUCCAGCAAAGCAACUUUUACAUUCAAAAAUAUUAUUUAAAGUUAGUGCAUUCAUCUUUAACACAAAACUAUUUUGUGUAAAGAAAUCACAGCUAAUUAACAAGACCAUAUAGUACUUGUUACUAAGGCCAGGUAUUUGAAAUAAAACAUUUUCAAAUAUGAAAAUAUAUCCACACCAUAGGACGUACAGUACAGAUUCAGCCCAUUUUAACAAUCCUUCUAGCAAAAGAAAAAAAAAAAAAGAUUUUGGUCUCAGUGUGGGUUUCAUUUGUGUACACUGGUGGAAUUGGGUAUUAAACUGUAUAUAUUUAACCAAUAAACUAGUUUAAUCUUCAAGGCUACUGUCUUUUCGAGGCCCUAGAGGUAAAUUAUUUGACCACCACUGGUAACCUGUGCAUUCUCAGUAAAAGUACACAAAGAACCUGUCACUUUGACCAUCUUAAAGACAAUUUCUUAAUCUAUAUUCAAAUAACACAAUAUGCUAAAUACCGACUUUUACAUUUAAAAAAAUCAAGACAGACUAAAAACAGAUCCACUCACUGUAAAUAUACUGGAUUAAGGUUAGGGAUGCAGUAUUUCAGAGCUUGUUUUGGAAAAGAAUAGAUGAUGGCACUGCUGCCUUGAAAGCAAGGCUACUUUCAAGGACAGAACAAUUGUGCAUUUACCAAUGAGGCCUUGAUGUUUUGCUAUUGAAGAUACUGCUCACAAUGUAAUUGAAGAUGUUGGGCAGCUUUCUCAAAUCAAGUCUAUUUUAGUUCCAAAUGCACAAGCAAAUGAUAGACUGCUAAUAUGUUCUUUCUGCCUUUUUUGUAAAUGGUGUAACUUCAGGUUAGGUUGAAUUAAUAUUCAUUAAAAGAGAUUAAGCUCCAUAAAAAUGCCGAUUAAUUUAUUGAUAUAGCUCUGUUCUCAACAACUGACCUUCAUACAAUUUAAUAUAGAGCCGCUUUUCCACCGUCAGGCCGUUGCUUAAACGUUCCAUUCAGUGCCGAUCCGGCCCAGCCGGUACGGAUAUGGUUUUAUUUUCCACUGCAGGGCUGAUAACAGAGCUCUUCGGAAUGUAACACAAAUGUGUAAGUUGUUGCCUUGGUGUAAAUCGAGAUGUAAAUAGCGACUACAAUUUGGAGGAUCUUCAGAUAUUUCUUUUCAUAUUAUCAUUAACUUGCGUUAACUUCGCUCAAAUAGCGCGCUUGGACAGCUACAGUGAAACUGACAGCCAGGCAACAGACAAGUGACCAAUCCCGAGUGGCCACAUCACUACACGUAUUCUACCAGCACGGUUUUCUGAAUUCCUGGCCAAGAAUGAUUUGUAAUCCAAACCAAGUUUAAGUGGAAAUAUAACUGGAACUGUUCCUUACCGUUCUUGCAACCAUUCGGCCCCACGGUGGAAAAGCGGCUUAGGUAAUAGUAGCUUAAGUAGUUCCUGUCCACUUCGUCAGACAAAAAAACAAAUGUAUCUGACAAUCAGUCAUUUUAAUAAAAAAUUUUAUAUUUGCUUUUUCAAAUAAAUUAAGGUUACUUAAUUAUUUACAUUAUGCCUAUCUACCAAACUGACUUCAUUUUAGAAAAGUGCAAUCGUACUUGGUGCAACAAUGUUAUCAUUAUAAACACCUGCUGCUUUUAUAAUACUUUAACUUGUCAUUAAAUUAAAACUGUAUUAACUGUAUUAGCGUAAACUUGAAGUAAGGCUAUAAAGAAUUUCUAAUUCCAGAUAAUCCAAAAUAAAUUUAUAUUAAUAGACAUUAUAUAUAUAUAUAUAUAUAUAUAUAUAUAUAUAUAUAUUUAUAAUGUCUAUGCAAUAACUCAGCAUUUUCUUCGUUAAACAACACGCAAAAGGCACACGAGGGUAACCCUCACUGUCUGCUCUCACAACACCCAUGAAAUCUAUUCAAUUCUAUUUAUUAGUCUGUCUAUAACAGAUGUCUCUAUUGCUACAUUUUGAUAUAUAUAGUGUAAUUUCCACUGCCAGUUUCUAUUUAAACCAGUUAAACCUAAAGUGCUUGUGGGUCAGGGAAUCUCAGGUUGGGGAAAAAAAAAAAAAAAGUAUAUCAACAUUGCACCAACAAAACAUUCAGCAUGUCACAAGUCUGAAUCCUCCACAUUAAAAUAUAAAACUUUUAGUUGAUCCUAAAGUGGCCGCAUUUAAAUUUCCAUAACACUUUGACGAUUUUAUUUAAAAUUAUAAUAACAAAAUCAGAACAUAAUGUAAUUGGCAAUAAAACACAAUUUCCAUCUGUCUCUAGUGGUGGUCUACUCAAAUAAUGGACAGAUGGGAUGCAAGCUGCUCAUUAUUAGUCAGUUUUUGAAGAGAGGGGUGGACCCCAACACAUCCCCUGAACAGAUCACUAGAUUAAUGUACCUAGAAGUUUAGUCUGAAGAGCAUCAUGCUUUAGGAAGGUAACUGCAAUACCAAAUUAACACUACUGUUAUACUUUCUAUAACUUUUCACCCUUCUAUAACCAGUCACAUUUUCAUAUCAGAGCCUAUUCAACCGAAAUCUGUCAUAUCAGUGAGUUGGUGGUUUGUAAAGAUGCCAUCUACUUUGCCUUACUCUUAAAAGAGUAAGUCUUCACUACCAUCACAUUAUUGAGAUAAAACAAUUGGAUUGCAUGUUUGAAUAAAGAAUUAAUAAUCUCUUGUCAACUAAAGACAUAAAUCUUGGAUUAUGGUUGAUUUUGUUUUUUAAAAUUGCCAUUUGAAAGAAUUGAGAUUUGGCACAAAUCCUCUUUGGAUUAGCAAUUUAGAGCACAUUUAUUUCUUUCUUCACUCUAUGCUGGUAUGUGAUCUCAUGGGGAGACUGUGUCUAGCCUCA